GCUCAGAUUGAACGCUGGCGGCAUGCUUACACAUGCAAGUCGAACGGCAGCACGGGUGCUUGCACUGGUGGCGAGUGGCGAACGGGUGAGUAAUACAUCGGAACAUGUCCUGUAGUGGGGGAUAGCCCGGCGAAAGCCGGAUUAAUACCGCAUACGAUCUAUGGAUGAAAGCGGGGGACUUUCGGGCCUCGCGCUAUAGGGUUGGCCGAUGGCUGAUUAGCUAGUUGGUGGGGUAAAGGCCUACCAAGGCGACGAUCAGUAGCUGGUCUGAGAGGACGACCAGCCACACUGGGAAUGAGACACGGCCCAGACUCCUACGGGAGGCAGCAGUGGGGAAUUUUGGACAAUGGGCGAAAGCCUGAUCCAGCAAUGCCGCGUGUGUGAAGAAGGCCUUCGGGUUGUAAAGCACUUUUGUCCGGAAAGAAAUCCUUGGCUCUAAUACAGCCGGGGGAUGACGGUACCGGAAGAAUAAGCACCGGCUAACUACGUGCCAGCAGCCGCGGUAAUACGUAGGGUGCAAGCGUUAAUCGGAAUUACUGGGCGUAAAGCGUGCGCAGGCGGUUUGCUAAGACCGAUGUGAAAUCCCCGGGCUCAACCUGGGAACUGCAUUGGUGACUGGCAGGCUAGAGUAUGGCAGAGGGGGGUAGAAUUCCACGUGUAGCAGUGAAAUGCGUAGAGAUGUGGAGGAAUACCGAUGGCGAAGGCAGCCCCCUGGGCCAAUACUGACGCUCAUGCACGAAAGCGUGGGGAGCAAACAGGAUUAGAUACCCUGGUAGUCCACGCCCUAAACGAUGUCAACUAGUUGUUGGGGAUUCAUUUCCUUAGUAACGUAGCUAACGCGUGAAGUUGACCGCCUGGGGAGUACGGUCGCAAGAUUAAAACUCAAAGGAAUUGACGGGGACCCGCACAAGCGGUGGAUGAUGUGGAUUAAUUCGAUGCAACGCGAAAAACCUUACCUACCCUUGACAUGGUCGGAAUCCUGAAGAGAUUCGGGAGUGCUCGAAAGAGAACCGGCGCACAGGU
This 1023-nucleotide ribosomal RNA is filed under the name Burkholderia sp. RNAcentral describes it as "bacterial SSU rRNA". It matches the Rfam family "Bacterial small subunit ribosomal RNA", at positions 22 to 1039 of the family's 1533-position model. The record is from RNAcentral. Lineage: Bacteria; Pseudomonadati; Pseudomonadota; Betaproteobacteria; Burkholderiales; Burkholderiaceae.